This 253-nucleotide ribosomal RNA is filed under the name uncultured bacterium. RNAcentral's name for it is "partial 16S ribosomal RNA". It matches the Rfam family "Bacterial small subunit ribosomal RNA", at positions 524 to 776 of the family's 1533-position model. The record is from RNAcentral.
UACGUAGGUGGCAAGCGUUGUCCGGAUUUACUGGGCGUAAAGAGCGCGCAGGCGGUCGUUCAAGUCGCGUGUGAAAGCCCCCGGCUCAACUGGGGAGGGUCACGCGAUACUGAUCGACUCGAAGGCAGGAGAGGGAAGUGGAAUUCCCGGUGUAGUGGUGAAAUGCGCAGAUAUCAGGAGGAACACCAAUUGCGAAGGCAGCUCGCUGGGACGUUACUGACGCUGAGACGCGAAAGCGUGGGGAGCAAACAGG